This 468-nucleotide ribosomal RNA is filed under the name uncultured bacterium. Its description in RNAcentral is "partial 16S ribosomal RNA". It matches the Rfam family "Bacterial small subunit ribosomal RNA", at positions 28 to 507 of the family's 1533-position model. The record is from RNAcentral.
GAUGAACGCUGGCGGCGUGCUUAACACAUGCAAGUCGAACGGUGAAGGCGGAGCUUGCUCUGCUGGAUCAGUGGCGAACGGGUGAGUAACACGUGAGCAAUCUGCCCCUGACUCUGGGAUAAGCGCUGGAAACGGCGUCUAAUACUGGAUACGAGCUGCUAAGGCAUCUUCAGCAGCUGUAAAGAAUUGCGGUCAGGGAUGAGCUCGCGGCCUUUCAGCUUGUUUGUGAGGUAAUGGCUCACCAAGGCUUCGACGGGUAGCCGGCAUGAGAGGGUGACCGGCCACACUGGGACUGAGACACGGACCAGACUCCUACGGGAGGCAGCAGUGGGGAAUAUUGCACAAUGGGCGAAAGCCUGAUGCAGCAACGCCGCGUGAGGGACGACGGCCUUCGGGUUGUAAACCUCUUUUAGCAGGGAAGAAGCGAAAGUGACGGUACCUGCAGAAAAAGCGCCGGCUAACUACGUG